RNAcentral lists this long non-coding RNA (493 nucleotides) under Helianthus annuus (common sunflower). Its description in RNAcentral is "hypothetical non coding rna". The record is from RNAcentral. Lineage: Eukaryota; Viridiplantae; Streptophyta; Magnoliopsida; Asterales; Asteraceae.
GUGUGCGAUCGUGAGCAGGGAACCAAGAAGAACUCCUCAUCUAACCCUAACUUCACAAUCCAUCAAAUUAAAAGGGAAAUCGGGGUCUAGUUGAAUGCAUGAGAUAAGAAUGGUGAUCACCUAAGCGUUUCUUGUAUCAAAAAGCUAAAGUACGAGAUUAUGACAUAUAGGCACAAAGAAGGAAGAAGGCGCAAGUCACUCAAAGGCACAAUCAUCACAAGAUCGCGGUAAAUCCCUUGCUUGAAUGCGGCGCACCCGAACCGAACACACACACGAAACGUCGACUCUAAGCGCUUCCGGUCCAAGUUGUUUGUUUGAUGGGUUAACUUACCAUUUUGUUUAGUAAAUGUUAUUUUGUAAGUGUCUAGUUUGUUAGUAGAAAGUUUGGAUACUAAACUUUGUGUAGUUUGUACAAAAGGUUCAUGGCGAACCAUAUACGGUCUUAACUUUGAUUAUGUUGGAAAGUGUCGUAGUAUUAAUAGUAAUGGUAUUG